This 233-nucleotide unclassified non-coding RNA is filed under the name Borreliella burgdorferi (Lyme disease spirochete). Lineage: Bacteria; Pseudomonadati; Spirochaetota; Spirochaetia; Spirochaetales; Borreliaceae. The record is from RNAcentral.
GUAGGUUAUUGCCAGGGUUUUUAUUUUUAUACUUUUAACUUUGAUUUUAUUUUUAUGUUUUUUAAAUAUUGGUGUUUUUGAAUGUGUUGUUUAAAUAACAUAAUUAAUAAAAUAUAUAUUGACAUGUAUUAAACAAAGAUAUAUAUUAUUUUAUGUUGUAUAAAUAAAUUGGCAAAAUAGAGAUGGAAGAUAAAAAUAUGGUCAAAGUAAUAAGAGUCUAUGGUGAAUGCCUA